This 490-nucleotide ribosomal RNA is filed under the name uncultured bacterium. RNAcentral describes it as "partial 16S ribosomal RNA". It matches the Rfam family "Bacterial small subunit ribosomal RNA", at positions 28 to 507 of the family's 1533-position model. The record is from RNAcentral.
GAUGAACGCUAGCUACAGGCUUAACACAUGCAAGUUGAGGGGAAACGAUGAGAGAGCUUGCUCUCUUAGGCGUCGACCGGCGCACGGGUGAGUAACGCGUAUCCAACCUACCCAUUACAGGGGGAUAACCUUGCGAAAGUAAGACUAAUACCCCAUGGCAUUUUAUGGUGGCAUCAUUAUAGGAUUAAAGAUUUAUUGGUAAUGGAUGGGGAUGCGUCUGAUUAGCUUGUUGGCGGGGUAACGGCCCACCAAGGCAACGAUCAGUAGGGGUUCUGAGAGGAAGGUACCCCACAAUGGAACUGAGACACGGACCAAAAGCCUACGGGAGGCAGCAGUGAGGAAUAUUGGUCAAUGGGCGAGAGCUUGAACCAGCCAAGUAGCGUGCAGGAUGACGGCCCUAUGGGUUGUAAACUGCUUUUAUAGGGGAAUAAAGUGAGCUACGUGUAGUUUAUUGCAUGUACCCUAUGAAUAAGGACCGGCUAAUUCCGUG